Aegilops tauschii subsp. strangulata is the source of this 1449-nucleotide non-coding RNA. NCBI's taxonomy places the organism in Eukaryota, Viridiplantae, Streptophyta, Magnoliopsida, Poales, Poaceae. The record is from RefSeq and is a predicted model, not a curated record.
CACACGCACGCCUACCCAUCGAAGCCACCGCAUACCACGCCGCAAGUUGCCUGAGGCCCUCAUGCCGCCGCCGCUCGCCCCUUUCUCUGUAUGUCGCCAACGCAACCCUGUGCCCCAGGGUCGUUCCCUCCUUCCCACAAGGCUCGAGGAAGCCCAAGGAGGCGGCCAUGAGGAGCGCGCAGCCACCGGAGUCGUGGGCAGAUCUAGCCGGGGCCGUCAGCAGCCAUCCCUCCCUCCGGGCGGGCAUGAAGAAUUUAAGCGGCUUGGGCAGAACUAGCAUAUGGACCAUGCGCGCCUCCCGCGCUAGGAGCCACCGGUCCUCGUUAUCUGCUAGCAUCCACGAGGAAUCCAUCCAUAUAAUGUUACGACAUUUAAAACUGUGUCAAAGGAUGUGACGAUGCAACGAAAGAACUUGAGUAGUGUUCUACUCGCCUUGGUGGAAAGGCACCAAAGGUAUUUUGUUCUAUGCCAGUCUGCAACAUGCAUUUUCAAUCUGCUAUGGACCUUUCUUUAUAGAAUAUUCUAGAUACAUAUUUGUAGCUUAAGAUAUUUUUGGUUCAAUGUUGAUUCAAUAGCUCCGAACCAUUAAUAUUUUUUUUUCUGAGAAUGCUUUUAAGUGGAGCUCAAGAAUUGGGAAGAACCUACUCACUAGCUUCAUGUUAUUCUGAACCGAGUAAAAGAACACACCCAUCUAUAAGGACAAAUGGAUAUAUGUUGAUGGCCACACAUAUAGAGGCUGGCGAUCAACUCUCAAAAUUCAUAGUAUACACCAGAAAGGCUGGCGAUCAACUCUAAGUUUCACUUACAAGGCAUACAAAAUAGAUGCAGCUAGAUUGGCUAUCUGCUGGAAGAUUUACAACCAGAAGAGUGGGAAUGGAUGAUUGAGUACUUUGGCACUGAUUCAAAAUUUCAGGACCACAGCCAAAAGAACACCGAUAGUCGUAAGAAACAGAAGACAAAACACAAAAUUGGAUCAAAAACUUACUCGCAACUAAGUUUUGAGAAGAGAAACUUGGAAACUGGAGAAGAGCCAGAUUGUAUUGUUCUGUGGGAACUCACCCACACAAAGAAUGGAACAUGGUCUAACACAGAGUCCCAGGAUGUUUACGAUCCAAAGAACUAGCUCGAUUGGACUCUAGAUCACGGACAAUUUAGUCUUGGAACUUAAUUAGGAUGGCUAAAUUACAUUUGAGUUUCAUUUGAUGGAUAUUUGCUAUGAGAAUUAUGAAUUUUAUGAAUCUACAUAUUAUACGUGUGGUUUUAAAUAUUGUAAUUGAAUGCCUAUAUUUUUUUAGGUUGCAAUAGGCUAUUGCCACAACCCACUUUUGGUUGCCACAUGUUAGUACCACGAAAAUUUAAAUUGUCGCAAUAGUUUCUCGCUACAAACAUUUCACUUGUUGUGAUACCUAUUUAUCACCGCCAAAACUAGUAUGUUGCAAUUUCUUGUUA